AGUUUAAUAGUUUAAAUAAAAUUAUAAAUUGCAAAUUUAUAGAUGAAGAAAUUCUUAAACUU
RNAcentral lists this transfer RNA (62 nucleotides) under Noterus clavicornis. RNAcentral describes it as "tRNA-Cys". RNAcentral also lists the same sequence under 1 other name. Lineage: Eukaryota; Metazoa; Arthropoda; Insecta; Coleoptera; Noteridae. The record is from RNAcentral.